Gallus gallus (chicken) is the source of this 8751-nucleotide long non-coding RNA. RefSeq lists it as uncharacterized. NCBI's taxonomy places the organism in Eukaryota, Metazoa, Chordata, Aves, Galliformes, Phasianidae. The transcript has 3 exons. The record is from RefSeq and is a predicted model, not a curated record.
ACGGCGGGGUCGGCCCUGAGCGCCUGGGGGCAGCGCCGGGCCCGGAGCCUCGCGGGGGGCUCGUAGGUCGCGUUGGGCUGCGGUCACCGUGAGAUGUGGUCAGGACGUCGUGUGCGUGACUUUCGAGCAGUUAUUUAUCCAUCGGCAGCCCGCGGUGGUGGCAGUUGCUUCUCUCAAAAUCGCUACUGUUGUUUUUAGUGCGCGUCUCCACACCCCGAUAAGCGGGUAGCGGCGCCCUGCAGAGCACUGACUGCUGGGGUCACUGCUUCCCCUCUCCUCAGCACUGGCGGAGGUGGACGCCUGCCUUAAGAACCCCAUUGCUCAGCGUUGGGGUGCUGAGCAGCUCAUCAGUGCUUGAAGGUGACCGAGCAGCCCAUUCGAGCCUCAGAAACUGAUGUAGAGAGGAGUUAACCUUGCUCAAAUUAUCUUCAGCUGCACCUUCCAGUCUCAGCUGCUGUGCGUGGGACACACAGCUCCACGGAGCCCUUCACAGCAGAAUGCUGCAUUUGUUUGCAGUGCUGAUGGUUCUCAUCUACAGCACCCAUCCCAAAGCUUCCACCAGCGGUGCUCACCUCGCCCAGACAGCGGAGGUGGCACAAUGCAGCCAUCAGAAAAUCAGCAGAAAUGAGCUGAUGCCGAUUUGAGACCACUGGACACACCUAAAUUUAUCUGUAGUUGAUGUUGCAAACCAAAACCAAAGCCCUGACAUCUUCACAGCAGUCUGACGAUGAGGUAAUGGGAUAAACAUCCACUGUGGAUCUCACGUGCUGCAACUCAGUGAGAUGUUGCUUUUGACACAAGAACGUAGGUUGGAAGGCAUCUCAGUCUGAAGCAGCACCAGCACCAACGGCAGCUCAGAUGUGUUUUUCUAGUCUAGUCCUGGAACCUUCCAAGAAGAGAUGUUCUGGAGCCUCUCUAGUUCAUCCUUUCCAGUACCACAGUGCCCUCCUUCUCUAAAAGUGAUGCUUUUAUGUUUUCUGUAUGUUGGCAAUAUAUAUGUAAGCAUUUAAAUACAAUUAGCAAUCUGUGUUUUAUAUACUAGGAGCAAUCAGUUUCAUUUUCAUCUAUAAGCAGUUGCUUACCAUACAGUAAUUGAGAUGAGGCGCUGUAGCUCUCAACUCACCUUAAGGAAUAAUGCUUUUAAGCUACAGCACAGGUUUUAAAAGGCUAAAACAUGUUGCACUGCUUAAUUUAAAACCUAAAGUGUUGUCUCAGCCUUUUUUUUUUCCUGUAUACAUGCCAAAGAACUCCAGCCCCUUGCUCAGGAGAACACUUUGUCUUUAUCCUCAUCCAGGAGGAGCACAGCCAAAUGAAUUAGAGCUCCAAAACUUUAAAAAACCACAGUAAGCUGACUCAACUGCUUGCUCUGCAGAGCUGCCUUAGUGUGUUCACGUGUCCUGAAAGAUUUCUGUGUAGUCCAGUGUUAUUUUUACUAACACUUAACCUGUUUCCAAACUAUCCUGUCUGGAACUUGCAGAGAACUGAUACAGCGCAGGCAUCUCUGCACAACCAUAGCUAAGCAGUCAGACUGCAUGUGUGGGCAAGACACCUGCAACAACCUGGAGAGGACAGCAAUUCAGAAGUUCUACAGACUGGAAAUAAAUAAAACAAAUCCUAAAUUACUACACAUUCUCAGCAUACAGGUAAAGCAAAAAGCAAUUAAAAACUGUGUGGCUGGUAGACAAGAAAGGGAUGAGCGGAACCACACCUUCAGUUAACUGAAGGCAGUGUCACAUCAUUUGAAAUUCAGAGUGGUCACUCGAUAACACGUGCCUCUUCUCCUUACAGACCAGAGCAUUUUUCCAGAACCAGUGCUUUUCACCUUCAGCCCUGUCCUGCUCCAUAUCACAGCUCCUCCUACAGCAGGAACUUGUGGUGUUACUAGUAAGGAAAUGAAGGGCUAAGAAGGGAAGAACAGAGGGAUGUAUUUAUUGAACUAAGAUGAAAAUGCAAAAAAUAAACUGAGUGCUUCCAUAUCUUAUUUUUGUGUUGUCCAUGAGAAAAUAUACAGCUGGCCUUUAGGAUUCAGCCUGAAUUCUCAGGUUGCCAGAGGAAAGACUUUUCCCCAGGCCCUCACCAUACAAUCUUUAUCAACGUGACUUUCAGCAACCAUGAAAAAAAUCCAGGCUGACCUUCGAUACUAACCAGACUGGAGUACAAUCAAGUGAAACGUCAAAGCUUUCAUCAGCAAUAUGUACGCUCACCACCUCUUUUCCAAGGCAGAAGCAUCAUCCAGGCAGACAACAAGGUAUUUAGCUGUGUCCAUCUUCACUCGCCUAUGCAUCAAGAAACCUUACAGCUAUUGUCAUCUAAAACAGCAGAGCAGCGAUACUGAGCUUGUAUGCAAAUGUGAGCAGCUGGAAACUAUCUGGCUUCAGCCUGAGGCUACAAACACAAGUGUCCAUUUACCUUGGAGAAAACAGGCACCUAUACACAUGAGCCCGUGUCAGCCAUGGCAGCUGAGGCAGCAGGGCUCUGCGGGAUGCACUGCAGGACAGCUGAGCCCUGGGGGAUGCCAAGGGACAGGCAGCAGGUGGGGGCAGGCAGAGAAGGAAUAAGAGAAUGAAGGAAUGAAAACCCACAAUUCUGUAUGUCCCAAAUCCUUCCAUCUUCUCCUUUCAAGAAGGAAAUUACCAAGGGUUUUCCUGCGUAUGGGUGUAUGUACUAAUACUUUGAGUCUGACUUAAUGAUUCCUUAGUUCAAAGAACAGACCUCUACAGAUGAGAGGCAUUUACUUCAAUCUGAUAUACAAACUCAGGUACUGGAUGAUGAGGAUACAGGGCUUUGAGCCACUCUGACAUCACCUUGCCAAGCAACCUACCGGUCUCUGCAGUGCAGAAGGAAAGGUCAAUGCUGAUCUGUGAAACAAACCGAAAUCCUAAUUACGUGCCAGUAGCAUCACAGUUUGAAGUGAAACUUAGGUGAACUUAUGGUCAGCCAGCUGCUCAGAAAUUGGGCGGUAAUUAUUUCUAUUUUAAGUUUUCUCUCCUCUUGAAUCUCACCUCCCAGCUGGCUGGCAAACAGCAUUACUAAUCCCCAUCAGAACAAUUUCUUGUUCACAAUGCAGUAUUCUUAAAAACAAAAGCCUACAAAUGGCAGUCACUGCACAGUUAUGGAGAAAAGUGCAAAACCUGGAGUGACUGUCAACAUACUCUGUUGGCUUUACUAACAACUGCUUGUAUUUGCAUACAGAAACAGAACAAAUGAACUGCUUCCCACUGCAGCAGGGGAUGCAUCACGCCAAAGGCAGUAGGACAAGUCAUUCCUCUUGAUGGAAUGGUGUCAACGAAGAUACAAAGUUCUAUCUGCAAAAGUACAAAUACAGAGAAUGGCAAGCAAGAGGAAAGGGAACUUAGUGAACUAAUGAAUCUGAAGCAAAGGAGCUUUUUUUUUUUUGCUAGUGAUCAAAGCAAAAGCUCUCAACAUGCGAGAUAAAAACAACAACAAAAGGAGCACCUCCACGUGAGCGUUAUUUUUAGAAUGCACUGCUCCCUGUAAGAGGUCACGCUUCAGAAGGACUCAGCUUUCCAGAAAUAGUUUGGAGCUCUACCUGAAGGUAGAAUUUUUGCUGAAGAAAAAAAAGUAACCCCUCAAGCCUUUCAGAAAAGGUGUGAAUUAAUGAAUUGUGAAAGGAAGUGUCUUGCAGGUUUGACAGUUAGGCAGCCCUUCAAAGAGAAAACCUCAGAAAAAGCAAGGAAGUCCAAAAAAGUGUGUGAAAGCAGGCCUGCACACUUGCAACACUUCUAUAUUUUCUCUUACAGGCCAGCAGUAUAAAAAAAAUCCCUCUAUUUUGUCCCACAGUCUGUGUACUGAGCCCAAAAACCAGAGUCUUCAACAGUAUGAACAGCAAGGGCCUUCCAUUAGAACAGCCAGCUAAGUUCUUUUAAGAUAUGUCCAAAAAGAAGUUGCAAGCAUGAGCCUUAACAAUGCAAAACAUAUGAAUGUGUUUUGAACAAAAUCACUGUCAGAUUCAGAUUAGUAGAAUGGAAAGUUUUAAAACAGAAGUUGACACAAAUCACACUAUUAUUUGUGUAAUGGAAGCUUGGGCAAUACACAUAGCACUGAAUUUCACGUUAUUCCUUUAAUAUUUAGAAAACUGGUUUUAUUCUUAGUUUUUCAGAUUUUCUUCUGAAGUAUUAGCACCUACAAUGGAAAUAACUCAAACUUAGAUUUACACUUGAAAGAAAGCCAUGCUCGAUCAGUUAAUUUAUCUUGUAUUUUUCUACUUUUGAAUAUUUCACAGAGCACCAAGAGGGAAAAAAGAGAGCAACAUUUCAGUAACACGUGAGCUCUGUUCUCAGCUACAUGAGAUUGCAGGACCAGACAUCUCCCUGGGAUAGAACUCAGAAGGUCACAGUUUUCCAGCACACUUCAAUCACUUUUUUUUUUUCCAUUAUUUAUGGUGGAAACUUCUAUCCAGGUUUAUAAAACCUAUCCAGCUGUGCAUUAGUUUAAUAAACCAGAGCUGACCUGAGAUGCAAUUAGAAUUUGACAUUUUUCCAUACUUAGUUCACAAGUUUAUUAUGAAAAACACUGCAGCUCUGUCCUGCAGUAACAUUGUUUUACAGAAAAAAACAGUUCUGUUCAAAGUAAUUCACUAUGCCUGGACAAUUACAAGGGACAAUAUGGUUGGGCAAAGAGUGGAAAAGGGAACUGAGUGCAGACAAAAAAAAAAAUCAAUACAAUUAAAUUAAACAGUAUUCCCUGAAAAUAAAAACAAACAAACAGUUUCAGAACAAAUAUGAAGCCUUGGUACUUAUUUUAAAAAUGUUCUUUAAGCUUCAAUGAUUGUUUGCUGCUAUCUUUAUCUACAGUCAUGCUGAAUAAAGCUAUAGCUAAAUGGAAAGUUAAAUGUAUUCACGAGGUGUUAAUGUCUACAUCUUAUUAUUUGCAGUCUCUCAGAGAAAGCAAAAGUAACUACAAAUAGCGCUAUGCCAGAAACUGGUUUCUUGACCAACAAUGUUGCUUCAGCAUGCAAUGAACUGGUUCAUUCUAAAGUGGUCACAGUUGUUGACGACAAGAGGCUUUGUAUUUGAAUAUGGCACGUCUUUUGGUCCAUGUGAAAACAAGUUUGAAUGUUAAAUAUUUUCUGACACUUUGGAGUUACUGUUGCUCUUCCCAUUUUCUUUAGGUCAACGUAUGGUUCAUGGCAAUACUGUACAGGUCUAUAAUCUCUUUACAGGAAGUAGUCCGGGGUGCGACGAGUAACAUGCGGUUCACCUCUGCGCGGCGCUGGAUCGAACUGCAAACUGAAAAGCAUACGUGUUAAUGACAGCAUUCCAUUUACAUUCAGGUAUUUUUUCUGAAUUAUUUUAAACUCAUCUUCGGAUUACUUCUAUGGACUUGAAAGAAACAAAUUUUGGCUUUUAAGACUCAAAUUGAUCAGAUAUCAGCAUACAUCUAGACAUUAAAAGUCUCCAGUAGUUAUCAAAGAGGUAAAUUACACAACGCUGUAUACAAUUCCUCAUUUAUUAGUAAAACUGCUAUAGCAGCUCCAAAAGUCAAUGUCCUAACAAGAUUGUAAGUCUCUUGCCCUAGACUUACAGGUGAGCAUAAUUACCUCAGGUAUGACAGUACUCCAACAUUCAAAUUACAUACUUCUGUAGUAUUUAAUUAAACUGACUUUAUUGUAUAUAAUGAGCUUAAUGACAUCUGUCUGAAUGUCAACAACAACACUUUCCAAUAUCUGACUGGAAAAUAUUCUACAUAUGGACUAGCCCAACAAUUCCACUGUCACAUCACCCCCUGAAGGUGUACAGGGUAAAAACCAUACCUCAAAACCAUAAAUAGUUACUGUAGCAAAAUACCACUUAUCAAAUCUUAAAAUCACGUGCAACACGGAUCUCAUUUUUAGGCAUACUUACAAGGAGUAUUUUAAAGUAUCAUCAAGUUCCAUAAUUGCAGCCUGGUUGCCACAACGGUAACAAUAGUUUGGAGCACUGAAAAUUGUUACUACAUUCCGAUCAUGGCACCAGUUGUACCCCUGGAGAGGAAAAUAAACUAUUUAGGAAAACCAUAUUCAUUUGUUGCACCCCAUAACUGACUACUAAACUGAAUUUCAACGUGCAAAACCCUACAUAGGCUUUGCAGUUUUAAAUAACAUUAAGGCUGUAUGUUUAUUUCUCUUCUCAACUGAAAAAGGAAAAAAGGAACUGCACCAUAGCAUAUAACAUCUUCCUAGUCAGCAUUAGAUAAGCGCAUUAAAAAACAGCAAGAGUUCUCCACUACACUGUUAAAAAUUAAAAUACUAAUUUUGAAUUACACAAUCUUUUUAAAGCUAGGUGUGGGUUCUGGUUUUGAUGAUUAGAGGUCAACUUCUAGGGAUCACCAGAGACUAAGAAGAAAACCACACACAUCCCUUUACCUUGUAAAAAGGCCAAGUGCACAUCUCAGGCACCACAACUAACUGCACUAUCAACAGCUUAAACACACAGCCUUUGCUGCUUACCUCCAUUACCAACUGAUGAGCUCUUGAAACCAAUGUAAGGCCAUUAGCAUGGUUAAAGGUUUCUGAAAUAUCCUGUCCAAACGUAUAACCUGCACCUCGAGGAGAAAUUCCCCAGCCACCACGGUCAUCUGGAUCUGACCAUAGCAAGUCACACAUUGGACCCUGUAAGACAUUUGGAAAGUAUUUCAUAAAUUGAAGCAAAAAAUAAAAGUAAAAACAAAAAACACAAUCUACACACUCAUGCCCCUGCACAGCUUACUGCAGCUCCUCUUGAAGGCUUAGAAAAAUAAUCUAAGAAAAACCCCACCUCUAUCAGCUACAAUUGUUAGUGUAGUUAAAGCCUGAAAUACUAACAAGGAAGUUAAUUUUAAUGAAAAAAUUUCACAGAAGUAGUUCUCACCUCUGAGAUAUUAAAACAUGCAUUGUAACUUUAGGCAAGAACACAGCCCUUAAUUUUCCUGCAGAAGACUAGUUAGGCAAGACAGGCAUUUUCGAAUUGCUACAUCGUUUUGAACCUGAUUUUCUGCCUUUGUAUACAUUAAAAUACCCAACAUAUGCUGAAUCAUGAAUAAGAUAAUUAAUUUUCAGUAUACCUCAUGAGGAACUUCCUGCAAGCGAUCAAGUGCUCUGAUGUGAUCCAGCGUAUCUAUUGAUGGAGAGAGGCCACCAUGUAGACAGAAAAUCUGAAAGAGAUGCAUUAUGAAAUUUCACUUGUUUACAUUUAUUAGUACAAAAAAUAUAAUUGUUUAGUAUAAAUAAUUAAGAAAACUUUUCAAGAGAUUAUUUUCAAGCUGAGAGCUCACUGAAUGCAGUGUUAAUAGCUCCCUUCACAACCAGCAACAUUUAACUCUGUCCAAGUUAACUCUACCUGGCCAUCCACCAAGGCGGUUAGAGGAAGGUAAUCAAAAAGGUCUGUAAAGUACUUCCAAACAUUUGCAUUCCCAUAUUUUCUUAAACAUUCGUCAUAGAAACCAUAUACUUGUGUGAUCUGCCUGCUUUCAUGGUUCCCUCGAAGAAUCGUGAUACGUUCACGGUAACGGACCUAAACGUAAUAGUUGAAGAUAUUUUAGGGGCACGACAACAUGCAUUUCCCAAAACCACACUUUGCUUUUCUUCCCCUCCCCAUAAUAUGCCCAUUAAGCAAUAAGAAAAAAAAUUAAAUUACAACCUUAAAGGAAAAAAAAAAUAACAGCUAGAUGUUGCCAGUCUUCAGUUGCCAGAAGCCUUGAGAUGAAGUAGAGGUUUUAUCCACUGUUACCAGUGGACUUCACUAUCCCUGUGCACUAAGCUGUUAUCUCACAUUUUUAAAGACUGCUACUUCCACAUUUAAAGAGAAUAAAAAUAAAUGCAGCACUCCCUUUACAAAAAGUUACACGGCCUUUUCAGAAAUACUAACCGCAUAUAGGUUUGUCAAAAAUAUUUGUGACAACACAGACAACAUUUCAGUUUUUCUACUUACAAAACCUCUGCAGUAAAUUCAUAACUGGUAUCAAACGCAGUCAGGACAGUAAUUACACAUUUUAUACUGGAUGGUACAGAAGAAAGAUUACCUUAAGAGCUACAAGCAACGUGACUGUUUCAACUGAGUAAUAACCUCUGUCAACAUAGUCCCCCAUAAACAAAUAAUUUGUGUCUGGUGAUUUGCCUCCAAUUCUGAAGAGUUCCAUGAGGUCGUGAAAUUGUCCAUGCACAUCUCCACACACUGUGACAGGACAUCGCACUUCUUGUACAUUGGAUUCUUUUGUCAAGAUUUCUUUAGCCUAAAAACAAAAAUGAAGAAGUUGUAAGAUUGUCUGUGAGCAGUUUUUCCUCACAGUAUGCUCCACCAUUUGCAAUGUUACAACAUUACCUGCUCUUUUUAUCAAUUCUUGUCCUUGUCUGAGGCAUAUGGAAUAGGAGUUUAUCUACUUGAAAGACUCUGCUUCAUGCUAUAGAAAUUUAAAAGUAUUUUUAUUUUUUGAAGAAUUGUUUUUUCCCCCCUCACCCAGCAACAAAUGGGUAUUUCAGAAUUAGUUUCCAGCUUAGAAAAAACUGACAUGUUCUAUAAAGCGGCUCCAAGAAAGGUAGCACAACUGCCUUCAGACCAACGAGCAUCAUCUCUGGGACUGUAAAGUUCGCAGUAAGCCUACAACCAUGCAAAUGGCUUAUUCCCAAGCCUUCCAAAGCCUGAACUCAGACACAGCCAAAUCUGGGAGGUGAACAUGGCUGUGUCAACCAGCCAGAGCUCCAGCAGGAUCCCACACUUCAGAUGUCUUGCUUCAGAAGUGAGAUAACAGUUUGCUACUCAUGUGUGCAUCUCUCUG